RNAcentral lists this long non-coding RNA (886 nucleotides) under Homo sapiens (human). Its description in RNAcentral is "HSALNT0321975". Lineage: Eukaryota; Metazoa; Chordata; Mammalia; Primates; Hominidae. The record is from RNAcentral.
GGUGUAAACUGGCAGAAAAUGAGCUGUGAUAUUUCUACUUUAAGAUGAGAAUGAGAAACAACUUAUCUUGAUAAAAGCGUAGAAAUUGGUUUCUUCAGGAAGCCUUCCCUGCUUCUCUAGUUUGAGUUUCUUCAACUGUUUCAAAUGCUGGAGCAUAGCACACAUGAAGCAAUCCACCGAGGAAGCUCUGCUCAUCCAUUUUUCUCUUGGCUGUCCUUGCACUUUGGUCUCACUCUAUCAGCAAGACUGGAGUGCAGUGGCACGAUUUCAACUCACUGCAACCUCUGCCUCCUGGGUUCAAGUGAUUCUUGUGCCUCAGCCUCCCAAGAUUUAACAUUUCUUUGGAUAUUUUGUGUGUGAAACAGUAGACAGAAUUUCUCCAUGUUGCCCAGGCUGAUCUCGAACUCCUGGAUCAAAUGGUUCACCCACCUCAACCUCUCAAAGUGCUGGAAAUACAAGUGGAUUACAACAUGAUAAAGAGGAGAAAAAAGAUACCAGAAUGAUGCUUCCUGCCCUUUAACAUCGGACUCCGAGUUCUUCAGCUUUUGGAUUCUGGAUCUAUACCAAUGGUUUGCCAGGGUCUCUUGGACCUUUGGCCACACACUGAAGGCUGCACUAUUGGCUUCCCUACUUUUGAGGUUUUGGGACUCAGACUGGCUUCCUUGUUCUCCUCAGCUUGUAGAUGGCCUAUUGUGUGACUUCACCUUGUGAUCAUAGCUUACAAAAAGCUUGAUUGAAAAGAGAAGAGAAUGGAACACGGUAUGAUGACAACAAAGAGAAAAGGAGCCAAGAUUAGUCUGGACAGUAUGCAGACAUUGACUCUGCUUUGAGGACAGAGCUGGAAUUAAUUUCACGUGCACCACAUAAGGUACUUAGAGUCGGAAAG